Molecule: long non-coding RNA, 139 nt
Organism: Haliotis rubra (blacklip abalone)
Lineage: Eukaryota; Metazoa; Mollusca; Gastropoda; Lepetellida; Haliotidae
Exons: 3
Source: RefSeq, a predicted model, not a curated record
ACGGAACAAGAAUCUGUAUCGAAACGUCGCACUCUCGAAAUAGAAGAAGUUGUAAUCCAUAAAGUUUCUUUAAUAUUGUACUUCUCAACUUCUAACAUGUCACCCAAAGAAGGAGAUCAUAACUCUUUCAAACAGUCCU